This 695-nucleotide ribosomal RNA is filed under the name Phoma sp. FW-2728. RNAcentral describes it as "eukaryotic LSU rRNA". It matches the Rfam family "Eukaryotic large subunit ribosomal RNA", at positions 74 to 786 of the family's 3401-position model. The record is from RNAcentral. Lineage: Eukaryota; Fungi; Ascomycota; Dothideomycetes; Pleosporales; Didymellaceae.
AUUGCCCUAGUAACGGCGAAGUGAAGCGGCAACAGCUCAAAUUUGAAAUCUGGCUCUUUUAGAGUCCGAGUUGUAAUUUGCAGAGGGCGCUUUGGCGUUGGCAGCGGUCCAAGUUCCUUGGAACAGGACGUCACAGAGGGUGAGAAUCCCGUACGUGGUCGCUAACCUUCGCCGUGUAAAGCCCCUUCGACGAGUCGAGUUGUUUGGGAAUGCAGCUCUAAAUGGGAGGUAAAUUUCUUCUAAAGCUAAAUACUGGCCAGAGACCGAUAGCGCACAAGUAGAGUGAUCGAAAGAUGAAAAGCACUUUGGAAAGAGAGUCAAAUAGCACGUGAAAUUGUUGAAAGGGAAGCGCUUGCAGCCAGACUUGCCUGUAGUUGCUCAUCCGGGCUUUUGCCCGGUGCACUCUUCUGCGGGCAGGCCAGCAUCAGUUUGGGCGGUUGGAUAAAGGUCUCUGUCAUGUACCUCUCUUCGGGGAGGCCUUAUAGGGGAGACGUCAUGCAACCAGCCUGGACUGAGGUCCGCGCAUCUGCUAGGAUGCUGGCGUAAUGGCUGUAAGCGGCCCGUCUUGAAACACGGACCAAGGAGUCUAACAUCUAUGCGAGUGUUUGGGUGUCAAGCCCGAGCGCGUAAUGAAAGUGAACGGAGGUGGGAACCCUUUAGGGUGCACCAUCGACCGAUCCUGAUGUCUUCGGAUG